UAUGGCGCUCCUCUGAGUAGA
This 21-nucleotide non-coding RNA is filed under the name Rattus norvegicus (Norway rat). Lineage: Eukaryota; Metazoa; Chordata; Mammalia; Rodentia; Muridae. The record is from RNAcentral.